GUUAAAAUCUGAGUAUCAUCAGAAGAGGAUGGACUACAUAAAAUAAAUGCUGGAUUCUUGGAUGAAGGCUCCAUCGAGGGCCAGACCCGAUAUCCACAGCAAAUUUGCUGCAUCUCUGUGGCCCCCUCACUGCCUUCUUUAUCCCCAGUGAAGGCUCCUUAUAUGCCACAAAGGCAUAUCAAGCCUCAUUCAGGAGGAUGAGUGCUCCAUCCUGGGCCACUUGAAGACAUGACCUUCCUUUUCCUGCCCCCGAUCUCUCAGAGGCUCAGAUCUACAGGCAGUACAGAGCUUUGCUGGAAGAGAGUGGACCAUCUGGCAGAGAGUGAGCAUUAGAAUUCUAGAAUACCAGGUUUGCUGUGACUUAGAACAAGCACAAGUAAAGCAGGGGAUUUAGGAGA
Molecule: long non-coding RNA, 398 nt
Organism: Mauremys mutica (yellowpond turtle)
Lineage: Eukaryota; Metazoa; Chordata; Testudines; Geoemydidae
Exons: 3
Source: RefSeq, a predicted model, not a curated record